UACGUAGGGUGCAAGCGUUAAUCGGAAUUACUGGGCGUAAAGCGUGCGCAGGCGGUUGUUCAAGACAGAUGUGAAAUCCCCGGGCUCAACCUGGGAAUUGCAUUUGUGACUGCACGGCUAGAGUGUGUCAGAGGGGGGUAGAAUUCCACGUGUAGCAGUGAAAUGCGUAGAGAUGUGGAGGAAUACCGAUGGCGAAGGCAGCCCCCUGGGAUAACACUGACGCUCAUGCACGAAAGCGUGGGGAGCAAACAGG
RNAcentral lists this ribosomal RNA (253 nucleotides) under uncultured bacterium. RNAcentral's name for it is "partial 16S ribosomal RNA". It matches the Rfam family "Bacterial small subunit ribosomal RNA", at positions 524 to 776 of the family's 1533-position model. The record is from RNAcentral.